RNAcentral lists this ribosomal RNA (315 nucleotides) under Triticum aestivum (bread wheat). RNAcentral describes it as "partial small subunit ribosomal RNA". The record is from RNAcentral. Lineage: Eukaryota; Viridiplantae; Streptophyta; Magnoliopsida; Poales; Poaceae.
AUGGCCGACAACGAUGAGGCCGGCGGUUCGGGCAAGUCAUUCUGGGAGCUGUCCCAGGAGAUGGAGGAAGAACCUCACCGCUAUGAGGACGCCGCGGAAGACACCGAUCCCGACUACACAACCCCUAGUGGUGUCGGGGAUGACACCACUGAUGGUGCCGCCGGGGAUGCCACCACUGAUGAUGGCAGCGCACUCACAGAUGGCAGCCAACCGAAGAGGCAGCGGAAGGACGGUGCCCGAACGUGCUCGGCACCGCCAAGGAGGAAUUUACUGAAGUGUCCUCCAGUGGGCAUCCAACGGCGCCCAAAGAAUUAG